Molecule: small nuclear RNA, 98 nt
Organism: Fukomys damarensis (Damara mole-rat)
Lineage: Eukaryota; Metazoa; Chordata; Mammalia; Rodentia; Bathyergidae
Source: Ensembl
UUGCUUCAGCAGCACAUGUAGUAAAAUUGAAAUAAUAGAGAUUAGCCGGGGCCCUGCACAAGGAUGACAUACAAAUUUAUGAAGUGCUCCCAUAUUUA